AUUAAAAUUACAAGAAAAAAUCACAGAAAUUUCUGACACAGAGACAUUUUGACCCUACAAGAAAAUUAGAAUAAUUUAUGACGGAGUGCUUAGUUUUUUCCCCCCCUCGUCUCUGUAAUCUUGUAUCUGAGAUGACUGUGUAGAGUGCAACCGCACAAGUGAAUCCAGUUGCCAGUAGUGCCAGCUCCCAGCUCCCAUGGAUCUGAUCGUGCUUUGUGUUCUCUGUUCUUCCUUCAACGGACAAACAAACACGAAGGUUACAGCUCGAUUCCUUCCGGAGACGGGAAAAGCUCAGUUACCUUGUGCACAUUCGAGGGAACAGAGCAGAUGACACGCAGCUUUCAGAUAAGCUCGUUUGGCUGUUUCUCCAGUUCGGAAUCACCAACAGAUAUGUUCCUUCCUUCACGCUUCCCUCCGCUUCUCGUUUUACGCAUGGAAUCGUCCACACCACUCUUCUGCCUCACGCCACUCACUGACGACGACGACGAUCGCGCGCGGUGGCCUGCUUUCUUUGACGAGUUGAAAAGCUGGACUCCGGAUCCGGAUUCCUUCAGCGUUCCACAUCUGCCGCGAGAUCGAUUUUCUGGCGGCAGCGUGUUGGAACUUUCCGUUUCCGACGUAGUAGUAGUAGAAGGAAGGGGAAAAAAAGGCAGAGAGAGGGGAAUCGUU
Molecule: unclassified non-coding RNA, 669 nt
Filed under: Zea mays
Lineage: Eukaryota; Viridiplantae; Streptophyta; Magnoliopsida; Poales; Poaceae
Description: misc RNA Zm00001eb294510
Source: RNAcentral